Long non-coding RNA from Hordeum vulgare subsp. vulgare (domesticated barley), 1432 nucleotides. RefSeq lists it as uncharacterized. Lineage: Eukaryota; Viridiplantae; Streptophyta; Magnoliopsida; Poales; Poaceae. The transcript has 3 exons. The record is from RefSeq and is a predicted model, not a curated record.
GUCAUUCCCUGCCCGAAAAGACACAUCCUCGUCCCCUGCUAGCCCCCAGAGGCGCUGGCCGUGCUUUGUAACCCUGCACCACCGUCGCAGCAAGCCCCCUUGUCGGGUAGCCGCCAGUCACUUCUGCCCCUGCUGCAGCUAGCGCCGUCCAAACCUCCUCCGCGUGCCACCCGUCCUUGGACCCCUCCCCUGCGCCACCCUCUUAUCCCUGCCCCUGGUGCGUUCUGCUGCUUCCCCUACUGUUGCCAGAGUCUGCCGCCGUCGAGCUUAUCCGGGAGCCCGGCUAACUGACUCGACCACAGCUAUUUAAGGCCCAGUGAGAGUGCCGCUACCGGUGCCGGCCAAAAUUCCUUUCUCUUAGUAGCCCCCUCCCCUGGCCCUCUUCUUCAGAAGCCCUUAGAAGGCCCCGGAAGCUCAUUCCCCUCCUCUCACCACCCGAAGAGAGCUCAUGGAAGGAGCCCAUUUCUCGGCGAAGCCGCCGGCCACCAUUGCCGCAGCUGCGUGAAAUGCAGACCGUAUCGACGUCUCUCUCCACUCCCCCGGGGUGAGGCUCUCUCCCCUGAGCACACAUGUGUGCGGAGUACUAGGAGAGACGUCCCCUAGCGCCGGUAAGCAUCACCGGAGCCCGCCCGUGACCCUGUUCCUGCGCGUGGGAGGUAGGAGAGGAACCAGACAGGUGAGCCCCGCCUGUCGGUGAGCAAGCCAAGCCCCCGAUUGGGGGAGAACCUGAUACGAUUUUGGAGAGAGGAGACUUACUUCAAGAUUUUUGGGGUGCACACCACCCUCCUCAACUCCAAAGGCAAGCAUCUUGAACCCUAGUUUGUUUGGCUUGUGUAAUGUUUGCUGUGAUGAAAUGGACUUCGUGGUAUUAUUAUGCUUAUAAAAACCCCACACAAGAUCAUGCUUGCAUAAAUACUUGUAAUGAAAAUUCUGUUUGUUACUGAAUACAUGUGAUGCAAAGUUGAGUGGGUACUAACUCAUGCCUCGUAUGCCAUGCUAGUCUGGACAACCUCGGAGGAAGGUGUGUCGUCGAGAGUAUGAGACCAUCGGACCGACAUCUCGUGGGACGAGAGUGGUCAGUGAAGGCAUGUCGGGGCGUGAUGGUGGUAACCCUGAGAUUACAUUGGAGAGGAGCACAAUGUCAUCAACCCUGGAGAUCUAGGAGUCGAGGAUGGAAGCCUCGUGAGAUAGGAAAUUUAUCCAGGUUAGUUGUUCCUGUGGGAAUGGAGUCCCAUGGGCACCGGAGAUUCCUCGAGUCGCUUCCGCCGUCAUCCUCAGACUUUUGUCCAAACCAGUAGACCUUCAUAGUCCUGUAACCCAGAUUUUGUAAUUUGCUUGGGAUUUCUGUAUCAAGUGAGUGUACACCAGCUAACAGUAGUCCCAGGGCUGGUGAACACAAAGUCCUGUUUUCUCGAAAUGAUUUUUUGAAAAA